UGCUUGUCCUCAAGCAAACAAGAAAGCUUAGCCGGCGGAAAGGUUGGAAAAACCUUGGGAAUUCUCUUAGUAUCAGAGACCAUGUCCUAAAAGAUAUCAUGCGGACGCAUAAAGACAGAGACAACACGUUAGAACAUCCUUACUAUAGACUCAAAACUUUCACCAUCCUUAUCCUUCCAUCUCGAACCUAUAAGAGAACUCUGAAAUCACGUU
RNAcentral lists this long non-coding RNA (213 nucleotides) under Arabidopsis lyrata. RNAcentral describes it as "long non-coding RNA (ALYR_LNC001949)". The record is from RNAcentral. Lineage: Eukaryota; Viridiplantae; Streptophyta; Magnoliopsida; Brassicales; Brassicaceae.